Long non-coding RNA from Ruditapes philippinarum (Manila clam), 1174 nucleotides. RefSeq lists it as uncharacterized. The record is from RefSeq and is a predicted model, not a curated record. The transcript is spliced from 2 exons. Lineage: Eukaryota; Metazoa; Mollusca; Bivalvia; Venerida; Veneridae.
CCUUAGUUGCUAUUCAUAAAACUCCUUAGAGACAAAAAUUCCUUAAUUUUGGCCGAUUUUUCCCUUAAAUAUUAAGGUAGCCCAUAUGCUCCCUUAUCUUUUAAGGAAAAAAGUUAAGGGAUAAAAAUGAAGAAAAAAAAAAUGGCCGAUUAGCAGACGAUUUGUUCAUUCCCUUUCUCAAAUAACAAAUCCAGCUACUAUCCAUUUUGGAAUCGACGGAGAUUUGAUCAUAAUAAUAUCCGAUGAAAAUAAUUCGUUCGUAUAUUAGCCAAACAACGCAGCUAACCGGAAAUCUCCGUUCCAGCGGAGGCAAUUUUCUGAAUAUUUUAACAUUUUAAAUGAAUGUUUUAUUGUAUGAAGAACGUAUUUUACGAAUGCAGAACUGACUUUUUAUUGUCUUAAAAAAAGAAACAGUAUGUUUCCUGGAUAGCCAAAUCCUUACAUGAUGUUGGGAACGUGCGAUAAAUCGGAGAGCUAUAAGUAUAAUAGUGUUCGGACUGAUAUUUCGGAUACGGUUUGACAUCUACAAAAGUCAACAUUAUAAUGAAUGCAAUCAAGUUAUAAUAAGAGAAUAUGGAAGAAAAUUGAAGAUUUAUAUUCAAUACACUCUUGAUGAGGUUUCAAAAAUGUUAAAAAAAACCUCCAUUUUACAAAUAUACACUCGAGAAAAAGAUGUACAAAUCAUUCACCUGCCGACCUGGAUUCAGGACUUAAUUUGCUAAAAACUUUUGCAUACUCAAGAUAUUGAAGAUUGGUUUGGAAACCCUACAGAAGGAAUAAACAACAAAACAGAAUUUUUUAUUGGCCAGUGACUAAGUAAAUGAAAUGUCAUACUCAUUAUAAAUGUGAAAUCAAUGACUUUUGUUGACAAUUUGAAAAAAAAUACAAUAUACUAACAUAUGGUAUUGAUAUCCUUGCAAUAUUGAAAAAGUGUGAUUGCAAUUACUGACAAAAGUGAUCUAUUGAAGAUCUUGAAAAGUGUAAAAACUACAAUGUAGGUGACAACAUAACUAAGUAAUAAUCUUUGGAAGUGUGAUUACUUAUUACAUCAGUGAUAAUCUUGGAAGACUCUUUAUGAUGUUUUUAUGACUUAUUGUACAUGAACUCAUUCUUCAUGAAAUAAACUUUCAUCCUGAAUUCAAUAUUUUUUGUAAAAUAAAGUUAUAAACUCUCA